RNAcentral lists this long non-coding RNA (3410 nucleotides) under Panax ginseng (ginseng). Its description in RNAcentral is "long non-coding RNA (PGIN_LNC001629)". The record is from RNAcentral. Lineage: Eukaryota; Viridiplantae; Streptophyta; Magnoliopsida; Apiales; Araliaceae.
AUACAAAUACAAACUUAAAUAUACAACAUAAGUUGUGAGUUUUAAUACAAAUAUUAUCUUCUAGACAGUAUUCAAACUCAAAAUAAGUCCUCAAUACAUUUAUUAUCACACUAUUUCACAGAAUAGUGAGGACUACUAAUGCAAACAUCUAGACCGGCACUCCAUUCCCCAACUAGUCCCAGCUAUAUUCUCAUUUCCUGAAGAGAACAAUGAAAGCAAAGGGUGAGCUCAACUAGCCCAGUAAGAAAUAUUAUGACUAAGAUAAUGCAGAAUAAUUUAUCGUUAGCCUUCAACAGUGUUAAACUGAUAAAAUAUAAUAAACAUCAAGUUUAACUGCAGCGGAACAAGCAAUCCAUUAGAAGAGUCAAGUAGAGCAUAAAAUCUACUAUCUUCUAUGAUUUAAAAGGUUUUUCAUCACUUUUAUCGCUGAGACUCAGCUUAAUAAAUAAUCCACAUCAUCGAAUCACCCCUGCACUACGGCUAAGGAUAUUCAUUAGUAUCACGACCACAAAUUAUCCAUGCACUACGGGCCAAGGAUAUUCGUGUUUUUAUCAAUGGUCAUGAUCAUGCCAACAACUGUCCAUCAAUGCACUACAGGCCAAUGAGGACUUUUACCACAUCAUUUGUAACAUUACGGUCAUGAUUAUACCGAAUAAUCCCUGGUCAUAAUCAUACCAAGUUCAUUUAUGCACUACGGCCACAGAUGACUUUCAACAUAAUAUAAGCAUGAGGAUGAUGACAAUGAUAUAAGAAUUAAAUUAAAAGAAAGCAAAGGAUAAAUUUUUAAAGAUUUAUAACUUAAUUUAUCCAGAAUUCAAUAAUGUCCAAAUUGUCAACAUGAUACAGCUUUGUGGAGUAAAAUUCAAGAAUAAUAUUGUAUCAAAAAUGAUUUGGACCGAAAAGAAAUUAAUUUUUGUAAUGAAUAGUACCCCGGGUGAAUAGUAACUGGGUGAAUAGUAUUCUGUGAAUAGUAACUUUGGGAAUAGUAACCCGGUGAAUAGUACCCCGACAUGAAAAAUUUAAAACUUAUCAAGAAUGCUCAGAAUAAUAUUUUCAUGAAAAGAUACUGGAUGAAGCGUAAAUAUCAAGGUUAUUCUACUAAUUUCAUGGAGUAUAUAAGCCAAAACUUUAACCAAAUGAGUAUAGAAUUCGAAAUCUGAAACGAAAUAAUAUUACUUACAUACUACAGAGUAUGGAAGAAAAUAUUAUUUUAUACGAAUACUGAACAAAAAUAAUAUUCCUUACCUUAAAAAGAAGAGUAUUCCGACUGGUAGGGCGGGGAUAUUCUUGAAUAAAACUUUCACUGUUUUCUACGCUCAAAGCUUUCUAAAACUCGAAAAAAAUACGCUCAAUAUUAUAAAAGAAGAAUUCUCUGAUUCUGGUGUGAUUUUCAAUUCUAACUAAGCAUCCUAUUUAUAGGAGAUUGGAAAGGAUACUAUUUGAAUUUAGAAAAUCACGUGUGCACAGUAGGAGUUCACGGGCAAGAAUCGUCAGAAGAAUUUUUUUUUUUUUCUGAAUUCACUAUGCAGACACUAUGCAGGCACUAUGCAGUCACGGGUGGUUGCAUGUGGAAAUAUCAAUUUUCAAAAAAAAAUGUAAAAUAAAAGAAAAGGAAAGGUGUUGUUCAAACUAGUUUCAGUAUGAAUAAUUCUAGGGGAACACCUCCCAAAAAAUAUAUAGUAUUUAUUUCAACUGAAUUUUUUGUAAAAAAUAGUGUUUUGGGUAUAAUUUAGAUACAUACAAUAAACAGGGUCUUUAUAGUUUGUACAACCAUGUUUCUUCCCUGUAUCUAAAUUACACCUAAAACACUAUUUUUUACAAUAAUUUCAGUUGAAAUAAAUAUUAUAUAUUUUUUGAGAGGCACUAAAAAAAAAUAUCGCUAGCAAUGUCAACAAAAAAUAUCCCCCUAAAAGGACUGUUUCAGUAUAGAAACUUUUUCGACCCAACAUUAAAACUACUGUAAAUGUCAUUACAUUUUUUUUAAGACAAAACCUAUAUUAUAUUUUUAACAUCAAAUUAUAAGACUUUAUGUUUAUCACUCAUCCAAAAAUGAUUGACGCAAAUUAAAUUAGAUAAAUGUAUUAAAAGUUGUAGUAAAAAAAAAUACGUAAGUUAUUUAAUGUUCAACAAAAUAUGUUAACAUAGCUAAAUAUUUGAUAUAACCUUCAUCGCAACAUGAUCUUACAAUUCAUUAUUGUAUGUUAAAUAAGGUUGCAAUAUUUACUCUCGGGAUUCAGUCAUUUUGACUUAUAAAAAUUAAUUUAACACGUUUAUUUAAAUAAUCAAACUUUGACUAUUUCAUAUAUUCAUAACACUACGAAACCGGCGCAUCUCCAAGUGGCCAAUAACCAUUUAUUUCAUAUUUAUUAUUAUCAGUUUUUUCUUUUUCUAUCCGAUGUUUCAUUGACUUCCAUUGUUUAAAUAUUUCAUGUUACCUCAUAUAAAUAUAUUUCUUGCACUCCAACAGAAAUAAAUAAAUAAAUAAAUAUACCUUUAGCACCACCACCUUUAUAAAACUCCUUCCAAUCAUUGACUCCCUUUUUCAUCAUCUCCAUGGACUACUCCGACCACCUCUCCGGUAAGUCUCCGCUGCGCGAACUCCAGGGACCCCGCCCGACACCUCUCAAAGUACGAAAAGAUUCCCACAAGAUCAGAAAACCUCCCGCUGUGCCACAACAACCGUCAAAUCAACAACAAACCCUAGUUCACCGGCCACCAGUAAUUAUUUACAUGGUUUCUCCGAAAAUAAUCCAUGCAAACCCUAAUGAGUUCAUGCAGCUAGUGCAACGUCUCACCGGCCCUAAUUCUUCAUCGUCUCCGGUUAGUUCAUCUUCUUCUUUUGUUCAAGAUAAUAGUGGUGCUGCAAUUUCUCCGGCUGCUCGGUUCGCUUCCCUAGAAAAAAUUAAGUCCCCCGGAGGGAAAAAUUCUUUACCACAAAAUGGUGAAAUGGGAAUUGUUGAAGGGGUAGAUUUAAGCACGGAUAUCGAUAGAAUUACCGGGCUGUUUCCGGGUAUUUUAUCGCCCGGUCCGACCUCUCUUCCACCGGUUCCACCAAACUUUUUUUCACCACCGUCUGAUCCGAAUCCUCUAGGGUUUUUUCAUGAUUUUAGCCCUGUGUUACAUGGUGACAAAAAUCUUAUGGAAGGUAGUUUUAUGCCUAGUCCUUCAAACAAUUUUCUCUCUCCUAAUAUAAAUUAUUCCCCUACUCCAUCUCUAGAUAUUUUCAAUAAUUUCUUUGACAAUUAAUUAACCCAUUUCCUGUCUCUUAUACCAUUUUUUUUGUCAUAUAUACUUUUUGGAAUGUAAUAGCAAAAUAAACAUUAGUAAAUUAAAUGAUUGUUUUUCUCUUUUGUUUUAUUAAUUUGUUCUUUUUCAGAUAUGAUUGAUUAAUAUGUUCAUGUUAAUUCUCC